CAAAGAAGCAAAAUUGGAACCUGACUU
This 27-nucleotide non-coding RNA is filed under the name Cricetulus griseus (Chinese hamster). The record is from RNAcentral. Lineage: Eukaryota; Metazoa; Chordata; Mammalia; Rodentia; Cricetidae.